Molecule: non-coding RNA, 844 nt
Organism: Oryzias latipes (Japanese medaka)
Lineage: Eukaryota; Metazoa; Chordata; Actinopteri; Beloniformes; Adrianichthyidae
Source: RefSeq, a predicted model, not a curated record
ACGUGACCUUUGACCUCUGAAGAGACGAGCCUUUAUCAAAUAGGAGCUGCUGCUGAGCUCACACAUUUCCAACACACAACCCUCCAAACAGGGUCACACGGGUUAAGAAACCGAUAUCUGGAAGUGGGAGCAGUUUUUGGACUUAAAAGCCUUCUGACCUCAUGUCAACAGCUCCCCUGCAUCCGUGUGUCCCAGUUCAGUGGAAGAAGCCAUUGAAGCAAACUGUUCCGAAUGGAUUUGCACAAACAGCAGCAUAUUUAUGUAUCAACAUUUCCUGAACCCUUGUGAUGCUCAUAAUGCAUAAGAUGAAUCCUUUAAACUGUCAAACCCUCGUAAAUCAGGGAGAUGGUGAAGGUAUCCGUCUGAUGUUUAAGCCACAGAGGAGAUUCUGUAAAACUGCAGCAAACAUGCUGCACUGACACAUUUAUCACAUGAUAAACACAAGCUGUUUUUUUCUGAAAUCAAAUCACCCAGAAAGCAGAAUGAGCUGUUAGCUGAAAAGUCACCUGAUAAUCAGAGGUUAUGGGGUCGGAAGCUGAAAGCUCAGCUGACACCUUUUUCCUCCUCUCCUGAAAACCAGGUGGACUUUCUCCGAUUACAACCCCACAGCCGGACCUCUCAGUACCCCAGACUUAAAGAGCAAGAGAGAAAAGAUUUUCCUCUUUCCCUUCCUCUGAUCAUUUCUUGUUUUUUUUAUUUUUUAUUAUUAAAUCUAUUAUCAAAAGAAAAUGUUUGUGGCGCCAUUUAAAAAGCAAAGUUCUGCUUUACAAAAUGAGUCACUCACUGUGAACUUUGCUACAUACUUCUUGUAUCAGUACGUAAGUGUAAAUGCUGUUAACCCUUA